GAAAAGGUUCUCAUUUAUGGACAGACUGGGUAAAGAUUACAAAGUAACAGUUGGUAUAUGAUGAAAAGGUUCUCAUUUAUGGACAGACUGGGUAAAGAUUACAAAGUAACAGUUGGUAUAUGAUGAAAAGGUUCUCAGUUACAAUGUAGCCAUUCAUCACGAGUUGCGAAAAUAUAGCUGCAAAUGGAGCUGCUGUGUGUUGACACUAUUGCGGUAUAAAAUAACAGAUGUCACCUGCGGUUUAUUCAUCACCCAUAUUCUGUUGCAAAACGUUUCUUAAACAGAAGCAAACAAACCGAAACGGGGAGGGACCAACCUGAAUUUGUCUGCUUAGAUUAGUGAUUACACACCAUGUUAACAUGUCAAUUUACGAUCGUUGUAAAUGCUGUAACUCAUUUGGUUAUACGCAGUGCAUUUGGUAGGCAAGACCUUCUCAAAUGCUCCCGUUCAUAUAUACAGUCAUUCUGCUGCAGAUAGAAAUAUUAUGUAUUGUAAUGACCUGACUAGAUCGUAAAGGAUCUAUUGACGGUUUAUUAACCCAACUUUACACAGGCUACUGUUUGGCCGUAGCUCACGCCAAAUCAAUAAAAGAUACCCCACAAGCCAACCUUGACCAUCUCUUGUGAAGGCCAGACAUAAGAGAGAGAACAAAGGCUAAACCUGG
Long non-coding RNA from Oncorhynchus tshawytscha (Chinook salmon), 664 nucleotides. NCBI's taxonomy places the organism in Eukaryota, Metazoa, Chordata, Actinopteri, Salmoniformes, Salmonidae. The record is from Ensembl.